Non-coding RNA from Pelobates cultripes (western spadefoot toad), 328 nucleotides. Lineage: Eukaryota; Metazoa; Chordata; Amphibia; Anura; Pelobatidae. The record is from the annotation of a GenBank genome assembly.
ACCAAAUCAUGUGACCUUCGGAUGAAGCUCAUCUAAAACUUAAUUGAUGACUCCGGAGGAGGGACUCCUUUACGCCAACUGCAUGGAACCACCUGCAGGUUUGUUCAACAUUCACAGUAUUGCUCGCUACCUUCUGGCAUGGACUUCUCACCGGUUGCCCACUACGGACUGCAGUCGGAUCUCACAUAGGAUCGCUAUCUAUAGCUUCUGGACAAGUAUUCGUCAUUUGUGACAGAAUGUAUACGGGACGAGACACUCGUGUGGCGGACGGCUUCACCCGACCAUGGAGAGACCCAAAUGAUUGGUUGCCUCACCCACCAGGGUCUCG